Molecule: transfer RNA, 73 nt
Filed under: Perilla frutescens (beefsteak plant)
Lineage: Eukaryota; Viridiplantae; Streptophyta; Magnoliopsida; Lamiales; Lamiaceae
Also listed under: 24 other names
Description: tRNA-Lys
Rfam family: tRNA
About the family: Transfer RNA (tRNA) molecules are approximately 80 nucleotides in length. Their secondary structure includes four short double-helical elements and three loops (D, anti-codon, and T loops). Further hydrogen bonds mediate the characteristic L-shaped molecular structure. tRNAs have two regions of fundamental functional importance: the anti-codon, which is responsible for specific mRNA codon recognition, and the 3' end, to which the tRNAs corresponding amino acid is attached (by aminoacyl-tRNA synthetases). tRNAs cope with the degeneracy of the genetic code in two manners: having more than one tRNA (with a specific anti-codon) for a particular amino acid; and 'wobble' base-pairing, i.e. permitting non-standard base-pairing at the 3rd anti-codon position.
Source: RNAcentral
GGGUUGCUAACUCAAUGGUAGAGUACUCGGCUUUUAAGCGACUAGUUCCGGGUUCGAAUCCCGGGCAACCCAC